This 465-nucleotide ribosomal RNA is filed under the name uncultured bacterium. RNAcentral describes it as "partial 16S ribosomal RNA". It matches the Rfam family "Bacterial small subunit ribosomal RNA", at positions 28 to 507 of the family's 1533-position model. The record is from RNAcentral.
GACGAACGCUGGCGGCGUGCUUAACACAUGCAAGUCGAACGGAAAGGCCCUGCUUGCAGGGUACUCGAGUGGCGAACGGGUGAGUAACACGUGGGUGAUCUGCCCUGCACUUCGGGAUAAGCCUGGGAAACUGGGUCUAAUACCGGAUAGGAGCCAUUUUUAGUGUGAUGGUUGGAAAGUUUUUUCGGUGUAGGAUGAGCUCGCGGCCUAUCAGCUUGUUGGUGGGGUAAUGGCCUACCAAGGCGGCGACGGGUAGCCGGCCUGAGAGGGUGGACGGCCACAUUGGGACUGAGAUACGGCCCAGCCUCCUACGGGCGGCAGCCGUGGGGAAUAUUGCACAAUGGGCGCGAGCCUGAUGCAGCGACGCCGCGUGGGGGAUGACGGCCUUCGGGUUGUAAACUCCUUUCGCUAGGGACGAAGCUUUUUGUGACGGUACCUAGAUAAGAAGCACCGGCUAACUACGUG